AACUUCCAAAGGGAAAGACGAUGAUGUCAUACUUACUCAUUUCUAUCUAUUUUUUACACAGCUCUAGUUUAUCUAGAAAUACAUGGAGAGACAUUUAUUGUAAUUAUUAUAAUACCUUUCCCCCCAAUACUUUAACAUUUAUUUUAUAUAAGUGGAAAGCCCAUACCAUGUAAACAAGACUUUUUUUUUCACAUGUCUUAUGUUACAUGGUAAGUCACAGUUUAUUAUUUGUUGGAGUGUUCAUCUUGAGCAUUAGGACACGUGCGUAUUUCUUGCUGUUUACAAUUUUAAACAGAACAAAACCUCAAAUUAAAAAAAAAAAUUAAACACGUGCUUGUAAAGGCCAUCCUACGCUUUUGUAACCAAGGAAGUACCAAUCAUCUUAUGAACACACAUACACAAAGAAAAGAAAAAGAGAAAGACAGAGACUUGGCUUAACAUUUAUUGUUCCAUUUUGCUCUGGCUUGAUUGUUUCCCUGGCCCACAGCUAGGACUGGAAAGUUGUGGCUUCUUGUAUCUGAGGUUAAGCUGAUGGCUUUUAUUUCCUGCUUCAACCAUAAGCAAGAUAUCCAAAGAGUAUGUUUGGGAGGACCUGUUUUUUAACUCUAUGUCUUGUUUUUAGGCCCAUGUCUCAGUCCCAUGGGAUAUGGAGGAGUCUGGGCAAACUCCAGAGACAGCUUCAGUGCAGAGAACCUCCAACCGUGAGGUCACAUGUACACAUAGUUAUUUUCAUGGAGUAGGUGGCAAAUUCUCAAGAUAAUCUUGUUUGUGGGAUACAAGCAUUUCUAGGAUAUAUUCAUAGCCAGCUUAAUACCAUAAUUAGCCCCAGAGUUGGAGUAUACCGGAAACUUCUAAGCUAUGGGCAAAGAUUGAGUUAGAUGUGAAGGUAAGCCGGGCUGCUCUCUACUGUGUAGUUAAAAACAAAAAGUGGGCACAGAGAGAGUACUUGUUCUGCCCUUUCUUCACCUACUGAAUUUUCAUUUCCCCUUCCCCUACCCCAGAGGUCUAAUAAUGGACUCCAACAUCCCGUGUUCAACAGAGCUUUAAAAAUCCACAUGGAGUCCAAAACUGUAGUAGGAAUUUGGGGUUUGCUUUUCUUUCGGGUUUAAUGUGACUUCCUAGGUUCCGGAUCCUUCGUAAUAUAUUUCUUAAACCGCGGAUCGUGGAGGUGAAUUCCCUUGGGGGAGAGUGGCUCUGCGAGUUGAUUAGCACCAUUUGCCUGCUUCCUCCAUCUCUUCUGCUCAGGUAUUAGUUGUGAGGACAGCUGUGCCUGUGCUCUGCUCCCCAAGUCCCUCGCUCCAUUUUAAUGUGAGCCAGUGAUGCAAAGUCCCCAGCUUGGCCUGUCAGAACUUGAUAGCUCUGUAAACACUGAAAUCUUUGUUGCCAUAACACCAGGAAAAAUAAUAUGGGAUCCUGCAUAUAAACAUAGUGGAGGCCUUGGGAAAUGGGAGCAUUUCUAAAUGACUUGAAGCUCUGUCAUGGCAUAAUCUCUUAUAAAUGGAUGACAAGGUAGUGGCUGAAUGCAGACUGGAUUUUUGCCUGCCUAUGGUGCUCAGCCUUCUAGAGAAUAGUUAUGCUAAGGGAUUAUCUUUUAACAUAGUGCAGUUAUCUCCUUUGUUUGUUUUCUUUUUUCAUUAUUCACAUAAGCCAAGGGAAAUGAAAAGCAUCUUAUUUCAGGCAAAAGGGCCUGUGAAUGAUUAACUCUGGUUCCAUGCAUUGGGACUUUGCAUAGCAACCCCUUGGCUUACAACUAGAGAAAGACUCAAGGCAGCAACAGCAGCCCAGGGACCCGAGACGAACAUUCUCAAACGGAGGUAGUGAGGAACAGAUUAAAUCGAAGCACUGUGUUUAUGAGUAGAAUUCUCUGUAGCUGGCUCAUUUAAUUUUGCAUUGGUUUUAUUGCACUUUUCUUGGUGAAGGUGUGUUUUGCUGACCUUUACUUCACAUUUACUCUUGCAUUUGGAGUACCCUUGAGGAUCUAAGUGAAACUUGGUCGUGAUUAGGGCGUAAUCUGGUUUAGGCCACUAUAUUGUAUGUUUUCUCCCUAACACUAUCCAAAGCUAGACUAACCCUGGCUAAAUUUUACAUUAAGAAGCAAAAUUAAUGUAAUGGCCUUAAGUUUUAAUUUCAGCUCAAUGAAAUUUUUGUUGGUAAAUUUUGGCACUCUUGUGAUGAUCUAUAGUAGAAAGCAUUAUGUGAACGGAAGAGAAGGAAAUGGUGUGAUUAUAUGGUUUCAAUUAAAAGGCUAUGAGUCUGUAAAGGACCCAGAUUAUGCAAUAUGAAGGAUGAAAUCAAGACCAAUUCUAUAUCUUUUAUGGACAUUUGGUGCUUAAACGUUUAUAUAACCAGGUUCAUUUUCAUCCUGAAUUAAAAGACUCAGAAGAAAAUGAAAUGUAGGCUAAGGACAGAAGAAACAUUGGAGAAUUUUGGAAAAUGCGUAUAGUUAUAAUGGAGCCAAAAUAUUUAGGACACUUAAAUUUAGACUGCAAGUCAAUCCAGAUGUUUAUUUAUUAACGUUAAUAAUGUUUCCAGUCUUGUUAUAGAAUACCAAAUCCCGGGGGGUUCCACUUCUGAGUUUAAAGACAAAUGCAUGGUCUUUAUUCUUUUCCAGUUGUGUUUUAAUUUGGGAAGUUUUCCAAAGCCAUGAUUUUCCUGUAAAAGUGUUUGCAAAAUCUUGAGCAGCUCCUGGUGCCUAGCAGAAAGUCUGAGUGAAACAUUGGGUCUAGCAAAGCUUUCCCCUUUCUGCAUUUCUCUUCUUGCUUCCAUGACAAUAAAGAAAGAAACUUGGCAUAAGAAUAUAAUCUGUUCCUGCCUGUUUCUCAUCUGAAGUCGUAAACCUCUGCCAUCCCACCCAAGACUAGAAUUUCAGCUGGCAUGAACAGCUGUCUGCUUACAGGUUUAUUCCGGUAGUAACCAAAGACAAAACUAUUUUAAUUGAAGGCCCUAGGCUGUUCUCCAAACCCUCACAAUCUUUGGGUCAUUCCCAAGAGGAAACCAUUGAGGAAAAGGUACACAUUACACCCUUUCUUAUAGUUUUGACACACUGUAUGUUUAUGAAGUUGAGAACAUUUUACCUUCUAAUUUUUCUAGAGAGGAUGCCAUAGAGAAAAGGAAGAGGUCACAAAUUCAAAAGCCCAAAGGCUCAGGCACACCAGCUAUGUUAGUGGAGAGUAGGCUGUGGUGUAUGGGAGAGGGAGUGUCUUGUCUAAAGGAGCAUCUGCUGCUCAGCUUCCGUCAUAGUUAUCAUGUGGGAAUGUGGAACCCUGGGGUAGCCAGAUAGGCUGGUUUGUCAGCAGAAAUUCCUGGUCCUGAUUAUAUGUGAAUUCGGUAUGGUUUUAAAUGUUGGCAAUUAACUUGAAGUGAAGCCAAACAUUGUGAAGGUCAAUCGAAACCUGGCUCUUAAAUGUUUGGGCUGCCAGUGUCCGACCCCCAGGCUUUGCUCCUGAUUCACUGCAGGUAGACUUUGCAUAUCUCAGCUUUGUAGGUUCUAAAACUGUCAGGUGAUAUAAUAUAUUUACACAUUUCCCUUUUUAUUCUAGGUAGUUCAGCAUAAAGAAGAGAACACAAGUUUUGGAGUCAGGGAGAUGUAGAUUUUACUAGUUCCAGAUUUUUACCAAAUUGUAACCGGCACCACCUUAAUCUCUUGAAGCCUCUUCUACAACACGUGGAAAUGAAAACCUAGUUUACAGGGUCUUUGGAGGAUUAAAUAAACUGUUCUCCAUAUAUAAAAUGCUUUGCCUGGCCUAUAGGUGCUUUUUGCAUGGGUGUUACUUUUCUGAUCAUUAUCAGCAGGUGAUCCACUUUGGAAGACACAAGGCCUCCAUGAGUUUUUCUCAGAAUAGGGAGAGGUUUUCUCUGAAGGUCUAAUAUGGUAUACAAUACAAGUAAAUUGUAUCAAGAAUCACCCUGAAGGCCUUAAAGAAUUUGAGAAUUUUAGAAGCAGAAAAGACCUUGAGGAGACAGAAACUUCAACAGUUAGAAGUGAAUGGAAUCAUCAGUUUUAUUGUAGACAUUAUCUGGAACCAUGGCAAAUGAAUAAUUUCCCUGAAAUGCAGUAGGACAUGUGAAGAACACAACUUGUUAUGAAAAUAAAGCCAAAGAUCGUAUCUGGAACUAUGUUGUGAAGUGAAAGAAUGCUGAUCACUAGGAAGAGGGAAGAUGUUAGAAGGCAAACGGAUUUGUUGGGGAAUUGCAGCAGCUGAAGACUAUCAUGAACUGUUUGUAGAAGGAAAUGCUGAAUUCAAGAUGAGUUUAUGUAACAGGAAAUCUGGCUAGCUCAGGCUUGGCCACGUGACUUGUUUAAGAUGCCAACUCUGAGAAGUUCUUUCACUUUGGUCCUUACCGUGAGAAAAGCAUGUACAAGUAGGGCUCUGCUCCUUCAAUCUGGCUUCUGGAUUGAGAAGACAAAUGAGGCAGACCCCAUCGAUCCACCCUCUGCAACAGAGCCACAGCCGGCCAAUACUUCACCUGUAAGCAGUCAUUGUUACUUACACGUUUACAACACUGGAGUCCGUAAACUGCUAUCAGAUAGACGACCUCAUUUGUGACUCACAACUUCAUUAAGAUUACCCUGGAAUUUCAACACCUUACAAACACAGUAGUUUUGAGAAAACAGCCUGGUUUGCUGGACUCCAGACACUUAGCUGGAGGAACUUGUGCUACUUGGCAUAGUUUGCAGUCAUGGUGCAUUUUGAAAAUGAAAGCACAAGGGUUCUUCUUGAACAUGUCAGAAUUGUUUAUUUUUUUCUUUCCUGUUGCUAUUAAUCAUUGUCUUACUUUUGAAGAUGUAACUUAGAAAAACAUGUUUUAUCUCACUUAUAUAUAGAAUCAUGUAUUCAAAGAAGUCCAAGUGAUGAUCAAAAACCCUCGAAGAAUACAGUAUCGAUGGGUUCAUAAUUAUAUAAUGCCAUUGAAUUCAGUUUUCCUUUUAGUAUCUUACUUGACAGAUUUUUUUUCUUUCUUAAAAAUUUUGAAAAAAAUGACAAGGGAAAGGAGCAAUUCAAGUAUUUCUAAUUGAAGUAGAAGCACUUCUUCUCAGUGAUCUAAGCUUCCAGAAAAAAAAAAAAAUCUGGAAAAAGAAGAGAAUAUUAAACACAGAGUAAAGUAGAAGAAAAAAAGAAAUAUAAAGUAGAAAUCAAUUAAAUAAGAAAAAAGUCAAAACCUAGAAAGAUGAAAGAAACCAAAAGCUGUUUUUUGAAAAUUUGUAAAAAUCCAGCCAGGCUAUUCAAAAAGGAAUGAAAUUAGAGAUGGAGACAGAGAUAGAGACAAAGAGAGAGAGACAGAGACAGAGAUGGAGACAGAGACAGAGUGGAGACAGAGAUAAUAAGACCUGAAGUUCUGAUCCUGUUUCAGUAUCUCUAGAGCUGCAUGGUGUCACUGCUCACACGGGUAUUACAGAAUAGAGGCAAACCUGGAUGCUAAAUCUCUCCUUUGUCAGACCCCCUCCGCAGGGGCUGGCUCACUGUUCAGAACUGCUCCGACUUGAUUAGUUCAGAGGGUCCCUCUCUCCCAAUUGGAACUUUGCCUGAGCAUGGCUACUAAUUCUUGUAUCCUUCUCUCCAGCCUUGGAGUUUGCAGUUUUGCCUAGCUGGACUGCUUGCCGUAUUUAUCGAUCCACCUAUGACUAUAAAACAACCAUUUGUUCCUUUGUUAACAGCGGAUUUGCUUGUGGUAUCUAGAUCUGUUUCUAUGCCUAUGAAUGAAAGCAUUAGACUGUACAUCAUGGUUAUUCGUUCUGAAAAACCACCCCGAAUUUAGCAAUGUAAGACAGCAAACAUUUCAUUAUGCUUGUGGAUUCUCUGGGUCAGGAGUUUGGAAAAGGGACGACACUGAAGGCUUGACUCUGCUCUCUAAUGUCUGGGGCCUCAGCUGGGAAGACUGCACGGCUGGGGUUGCCUUGAGGAAUAGAGACUGGAAUCAUCUGAAGGCUUGUUUAUUCGAAUACCUGGUCCCUGGGCAAGAAGAACGCCAAACUGGGCAGCCAACCAGAGUGCCUCCGCUUGGUCUCUCCAAGUGGUUUGGCUUCUUUAAUAGCAUGGUGGCCUCGGUGUACAUGCUGGCUCAGGAGUCCAAAUGCAAGAGUUCUAGAUAACAAGGUACAAAUGGGAUCACCUUUUCUGACCUAGCCUCGGAAGUCAUGCAGCUUACCCUAUGCCUCAAUAUGAAGCCUACCUAUAUUCAGAAGGUGGUUCAUAGACCCUACCUUUUGAUCAGAUUAAAGGUCUUGCUGUAGAUGAAUAUGGGAGGUAGGAGAUAUUUGUGGAAACUCCAGUCUGCCACACGAUCUGAAUAGAACUGGCAAUAGAAUUUUAGCAUCCAUCUUCCUCACUCUGCCCUCAUUUUCAUCUCUACAGUGGCCUCCUUCACUUCAGCCACAUUUUAUGGUAAUAGUUCAAAGAAUCAAGUGGGAUCAACUUUUAUAAUUACAUAGUUGUGUGUGUGUAUUUUCUAUAGCUUUCCAGGGACAAAGAAGGAAAUGCAUUAUUAUAAUUUUAAAGACUUACUGCUGGACGCUUGGGAGUAAAGCUGAAUAUAGAAAGCACAUUGCUAAUCAAAUUAACUUAUAACAUUUAUUUUGAAAGUUUGAUAAUCAAGAAAAAUUUUCUCCCUUUA
Molecule: long non-coding RNA, 6612 nt
Organism: Mirounga angustirostris (Northern elephant seal)
Lineage: Eukaryota; Metazoa; Chordata; Mammalia; Carnivora; Phocidae
Exons: 6
Source: RefSeq, a predicted model, not a curated record